RNAcentral lists this long non-coding RNA (681 nucleotides) under Malus domestica (apple). RNAcentral's name for it is "long non-coding RNA (MDOM_LNC008277)". Lineage: Eukaryota; Viridiplantae; Streptophyta; Magnoliopsida; Rosales; Rosaceae. The record is from RNAcentral.
UUAUCUGUGGUACCCAAAGAGCUGAUGUUGCGUGUGGAAAAUGGUGCCUCUUCGAAAUCCGGAGAGUGGUGCCUCUUCGAUUCUUGAACCAACGGCCUUGUUGCCCUUUCUUUUAUAAGGGCACCAAUUGUGUGCAAGAAGUACAUUCAGAGAGUUAUUGCUUGUAGGAAUUUUCCCCUUACUUCAGAGAUUUAUUGUACCUCAUUUCUCCUUCAUCAUUUCUGAGAAUGUCUGGCACAUCCGACCGUCAUUUUGAUUUGAACUUUGGUGAAGAGGCAGCUAUGCCUUCUCAAGAUAACAUAUAGCGCACAUCCUUCUUAUCCCCUAUUGGUCAUCUUACCGUUGGGGACUCUGUGAUGAAGAAUGAUAUGACAGCUGCGAUGGUGGCAACAUAUACAGAUUAGGAAACUAGAAAUUCCCAACCGAUGAGCUAGAAUGAUAUGACAGCUUCAUCAAUUUGAGAAUUUGUAGUUGUCCUCCAUUGAUGAAGCUUUGUUGAAUUUCCCUUUUUUUUUCUUUUUUUUUUUGGGAAACUAGAAAUUUGAAAAUGUGGGAGAGACAACAUAUACAAAUUUUGCUUCCACACUGUUGAGCAAGACAUUAUGAUGCAAGUCACACCUUGUAGUAGUCGAAGGUUUGGAUGAACCAUAUAAAUUGAAUUUGCUUCGAAGGUUUGAGAAU